RNAcentral lists this ribosomal RNA (1372 nucleotides) under uncultured bacterium. RNAcentral describes it as "bacterial SSU rRNA". It matches the Rfam family "Bacterial small subunit ribosomal RNA", at positions 28 to 1381 of the family's 1533-position model. The record is from RNAcentral.
GAUGAACGCUGGCGGCGUGCCUAAUACAUGCAAGUCGAGCGAACAGACGAGGAGCUUGCUCCUUUGACGUUAGCGGCGGACGGGUGAGUAACACGUGGGUAACCUACCUAUAAGACUGGGAUAACUUCGGGAAACCGGAGCUAAUACCGGAUAAUAUUUCGAACCGCAUGGUUCGAUAGUGAAAGAUGGCUUUGCUAUCACUUAUAGAUGGACCUGCGCCGUAUUAGCUAGUUGGUAAGGUAACGGCUUACCAAGGCAACGAUACGUAGCCGACCUGAGAGGGUGAUCGGCCACACUGGAACUGAGACACGGUCCAGACUCCUACGGGAGGCAGCAGUAGGGAAUCUUCCGCAAUGGGCGAAAGCCUGACGGAGCAACGCCGCGUGAGUGAUGAAGGUCUUCGGAUCGUAAAACUCUGUUAUUAGGGAAGAACAAACGUGUAAGUAACUGUGCACGUCUUGACGGUACCUAAUCAGAAAGCCACGGCUAACUACGUGCCAGCAGCCGCGGUAAUACGUAGGUGGCAAGCGUUAUCCGGAAUUAUUGGGCGUAAAGCGCGCGUAGGCGGUUUUUUAAGUCUGAUGUGAAAGCCCACGGCUCAACCGUGGAGGGUCAUUGGAAACUGGAAAACUUGAGUGCAGAAGAGGAAAGUGGAAUUCCAUGUGUAGCGGUGAAAUGCGCAGAGAUAUGGAGGAACACCAGUGGCGAAGGCGACUUUCUGGUCUGUAACUGACUCUGAUGUGCGAAAGCGUGGGGAUCAAACAGGAUUAGAUACCCUGGUAGUCCACGCCGUAAACGAUGAGUGCCAAGUGUUAGGGGGUUUCCGCCCCUUAGUGCUGCAGCUAACGCAUUAAGCACUCCGCCUGGGGAGUACGACCGCAAGGUUGAAACUCAAAGGAACUGACGGGGACCCGCACAAGCGGUGGAGCAUGUGGUUUAAUUCGAAGCAACGCGAAGAACCUUACCAAAUCUUGACAUCCUUUGACCCUUCUAGAGAUAGAAGUUUCCCCUUCGGGGGACAAAGUGACAGGUGGUGCAUGGUUGUCGUCAGCUCGUGUCGUGAGAUGUUGGGUUAAGUCCCGCAACGAGCGCAACCCUUAAGCUUAGUUGCCAUCAUUAAGUUGGGCACUCUAAGUUGACUGCCGGUGACAAACCGGAGGAAGGUGGGGAUGACGUCAAAUCAUCAUGCCCCUUAUGAUUUGGGCUACACACGUGCUACAAUGGACAAUACAAAGGGCAGCGAAACCGCGAGGUCAAGCAAAUCCCAUAAAGUUGUUCUCAGUUCGGAUUGUAGUCUGCAACUCGACUACAUGAAGCUGGAAUCGCUAGUAAUCGUAGAUCGGCAUGCUACGGUGAAUACGUUCCCGGGUCU